CCCAGGACGCCAGUAUCACAACCUGAGCUGAAGGCGGACGCUCAACUCCUGAGCCACCCAGUGCAUUUGACGGCACCGAGGAGGAAUUCCACUAAUAUGAGAGUACCCACACAUUCCAUUAACUCCUGGCCUUCCUGCUGAGUGGUCCCAACUCCAACUGCUGCAUAUCUUCUCUCCUGGACAAAGGUGCUGGGUUAAAACUGGACAUGUGCCCUUCGCAAGCCAGUUUGGACAACCUUUAGGACAUCUUGUUGGAAGACUGCAACCAAAGUGCUUUCUUCCAGCUGGAGAAAAUACCAGUUGCUACAACCAUAAGAAGAAAUAAUCUCCAUCUUUUCUGGUCAAAAGAUGGUCAGAGUGAUUGGACCAACCAAAUCCGACUAUAACUCUGGGGUUUAAGUUCUAUGAAUUAAUACAUUUAUCUUAUUUU
Canis lupus familiaris (dog) is the source of this 430-nucleotide long non-coding RNA. RefSeq lists it as uncharacterized. The record is from RefSeq and is a predicted model, not a curated record. Lineage: Eukaryota; Metazoa; Chordata; Mammalia; Carnivora; Canidae. The transcript is spliced from 3 exons.